AUGGAUGGCUACGUGCUUUUUAGGAAAGACAGGCCAGGAAAGCGAGGUGGAGGAGUUGCUCUUUAUGUGAGAGAGCAACUGGAAUGUAUUGAGCUCUGCCUAGGGGUGGAUGAAGAGCGAGUCGAGAGCUUAUGGGUAAGGAUUAAAGGGCAGGCUAGCAUGGGUGACACUGUUGUGGGUGUUUACUACAGGCCACCUGAUCAGGAUGAGGAAGUCGAUGAGGCCUUCUACAGACAGCUGGAAGUAGCCUCACGAUCCCAGGCCCUGGUUCUCAUGGGGGACUUCAACCACCCCGAUAUCUGCUGGAAAGACAACACAGCUAGGCACAAACAGUCCUGGAGGUUCCUGCAGAGCAUUGGUGACAACUUCUUGACACAGGUGGUGGAGGAGCCAACAAGGAGAGGUGUGCUGCUGGACCUCGUAUUAACAAACAAAGAAGGACUGCUUGAAGAUGUGAAGGUCGGGGGCAGCCUUGGCUGCAGUAACCAUGAGAUGGUGGAGUUCAGGAUCCUGUGUGGAGGCAGCAGGGCACUAAGUAGGAUCGCAACCCUGGACUUCAGGAGAGCAAACUUUGGCCUCUUCAGGGACCUACUUGGAGGAACCCCAUGGGUUAGGGCCCUAGAAGGAAGGGGCGUUCAAGAGAGCUGGUUAAUAUUCAAACAUCACUUCCUCCAGGCUCAAGAGCGGUGCAUCCCUAUGAGUAGGAAGUCAAGCAAAGGAGGCAGGAGACCUGCGUGGAUGAGCAAGGAGCUCCUGGCACAACUCAACCAGAAGAAGGAAGUAUACAGAAAGUGGAAAGGGGGACAGGCCACUUGGGAGGAAUAUAGGAACGUUGUCAGAGUAUGCAGGGAUGCGACGAGGAAGGCUAAGGCCCAUUUGGAAUUAAAUCUGGCGAAAGAUGUCAAGGACAACAAGAAGGGCUUCUUCAAAUACAUCAGUAGCAAGAGGAAGACUAGGGAAAAUGUGGGCCCUUUGCUGAAUGGGGUGGGUGGCCUGGUGACGAAGGAUGCAGAGAAGGCAGAGUUCCUGAAUGCCUUCUUGCUUCAGUCUUCACUGCUCAGGCCAGCCGUCAGGAAUCCCAGACCCUGGAGGCAAGAGAGAAAGUCUGGAGAAAGGAAGACUUUCCCUUGGUGGAGGAGGAGUGGGUUAGAGAUCAUUUAA
Molecule: long non-coding RNA, 1161 nt
Filed under: Apteryx haastii (Great spotted kiwi)
Lineage: Eukaryota; Metazoa; Chordata; Aves; Apterygiformes; Apterygidae
Description: lncRNA (ENSAHAG00000006836.1)
Source: RNAcentral